AUACUUACCGGGCAGGGGAGAUAUCAGGUGGAUUUCCCAGGGUGAGGCUUAUCCAUUGCACUCAGAGACUGCUGACUCCUGCUAUUUCCCCAAAUGCAGGAAACUCAACGGCAUAAUUUGUGGAUGUGGGGAACUAGAUUUGUAGCCUACAA
This 152-nucleotide small nuclear RNA is filed under the name Meriones unguiculatus (Mongolian gerbil). RNAcentral's name for it is "U1 spliceosomal RNA (ENSMUGG00000024825.1)". It matches the Rfam family "U1 spliceosomal RNA". From Rfam's summary of the family: U1 is a small nuclear RNA (snRNA) component of the spliceosome (involved in pre-mRNA splicing). Its 5' end forms complementary base pairs with the 5' splice junction, thus defining the 5' donor site of an intron. There are significant differences in sequence and secondary structure between metazoan and yeast U1 snRNAs, the latter being much longer (568 nucleotides as compared to 164 nucleotides in human). Lineage: Eukaryota; Metazoa; Chordata; Mammalia; Rodentia; Muridae. The record is from RNAcentral.